CAGCCGCCACGGGAAUACGGAGGGUGCAAGCGUUAAUCGGAAUUACUGGGCGUAAAGCGUGCGUAGGCGGUUCGUUAAGUCUGUUGUGAAAGCCCCGGGCUCAACCUGGGAAUGGCAAUGGAUACUGGCGAGCUAGAGUGUGUCAGAGGAUAGUGGAAUUCCCGGUGUAGCGGUGAAAUGCGUAGAGAUCGGGAGGAACAUCAGUGGCGAAGGCGGCCAUCUGGGACAACACUGACGCUGAGGCACGAAAGCGUGGGGAGCAAACAGGAUUAGAUACCCCAGUAGUCCCUGUCUCUUAUAA
This 301-nucleotide ribosomal RNA is filed under the name uncultured bacterium. Its description in RNAcentral is "partial 16S ribosomal RNA". It matches the Rfam family "Bacterial small subunit ribosomal RNA", at positions 509 to 809 of the family's 1533-position model. The record is from RNAcentral.